RNAcentral lists this transfer RNA (60 nucleotides) under Hominimerdicola alba. RNAcentral's name for it is "Ruminococcus albus tRNA_Asn_GTT". It matches the Rfam family "tRNA", at positions 9 to 63 of the family's 71-position model. From Rfam's summary of the family: Transfer RNA (tRNA) molecules are approximately 80 nucleotides in length. Their secondary structure includes four short double-helical elements and three loops (D, anti-codon, and T loops). Further hydrogen bonds mediate the characteristic L-shaped molecular structure. tRNAs have two regions of fundamental functional importance: the anti-codon, which is responsible for specific mRNA codon recognition, and the 3' end, to which the tRNAs corresponding amino acid is attached (by aminoacyl-tRNA synthetases). tRNAs cope with the degeneracy of the genetic code in two manners: having more than one tRNA (with a specific anti-codon) for a particular amino acid; and 'wobble' base-pairing, i.e. permitting non-standard base-pairing at the 3rd anti-codon position. Lineage: Bacteria; Bacillati; Bacillota; Clostridia; Eubacteriales; Oscillospiraceae. The record is from RNAcentral.
AGUUCUGUCGGCGUUAGAGCAUGCGGCUGUUAACCGCAGGGUCGUUGGUUCGAGUCCAAC